Molecule: long non-coding RNA, 421 nt
Organism: Megalobrama amblycephala (Wuchang bream)
Lineage: Eukaryota; Metazoa; Chordata; Actinopteri; Cypriniformes; Xenocyprididae
Exons: 3
Source: RefSeq, a predicted model, not a curated record
AACUCUACCAGAUGAUCGAAAAUUUAUUGCUGAUAGGCUACUUACUUGAAUGCAGUUGUUCCAAAAUAAAUUAACUGUUCAAAUUUCAAAUCAAGUAUAUUUAUUCAAAUUUUAUUAAAAUAAAUCUAUUUCUGACAUUAACAUUUCUAACAUAUGUUCCACAGAUUGCACUCACCAUUCAAGCUCAUGCAAGCAAGUUGAAGAUAAGCGAGAUGCUGUUAUUCGCUGGGAAAAUCAUCUGAGGAGCUCAUUGAAGCCUAACAGGAUGUCAGCAGAGACAUGAUUAAAGAUUGCUUCACCAGUCAUGAAACGAAGAUCAUUGAACUGGGCAACACUGUAGGAGAGGAAGAUGCCAACAUGGCUGACGUCGAUAUCGUCAUUGAGGGAACUAAGGUGCUGUUUAACUCUGAUUAACCCUCUA